GGAUCAGUGGUGAUGUGCAUAAAUUCAUUCCUUGGAAAGCCGAACAAAAUGACUGAAAACGCUACACCAUCUUUCUCAUCAAACAGAGAUCC
Small nucleolar RNA from Octodon degus (degu), 92 nucleotides. Its record names the gene SNORD116. It matches the Rfam family "Small nucleolar RNA SNORD116". From Rfam's summary of the family: HBII-85 is a member of the C/D class of snoRNAs, which contain the C (UGAUGA) and D (CUGA) box motifs. HBII-85 is encoded in a tandemly repeated array with another C/D snoRNA, HBII-52, in the Prader-Willi syndrome (PWS) region of chromosome 15. Unlike most other snoRNAs, HBII-85 is expressed prevalently in the brain (but is absent in PWS patients) and lacks any significant complementarity with ribosomal RNA. The record is from Ensembl. NCBI's taxonomy places the organism in Eukaryota, Metazoa, Chordata, Mammalia, Rodentia, Octodontidae.